RNAcentral lists this unclassified non-coding RNA (381 nucleotides) under Hevea brasiliensis (rubber tree). The record is from RNAcentral. Lineage: Eukaryota; Viridiplantae; Streptophyta; Magnoliopsida; Malpighiales; Euphorbiaceae.
GGAAAACAUCUGAUAAAGUGAAAUGCUUCUGAAAAUUAAAACCUUCUAGCGCAUCCUGCAAGACCGGUGUCCCCAAAGAUUCAGUUUUACUGAGACCCACAUCAUGAAAUUGCAAAUACUCCUUAAAUUUGGUCAAUUCCAUCUCCUUAGUCAUUAUUCUCUCAGACGCCUCCUGUUCCACAGCACUUACCAUUCCCUUAAUAACUGAGUCACUCACCAUCCUUGAAACCGUUAAGCGUUCGUUUAUAUCUUCCCAAUACAACUCAAAGUCCUCUAAAAUCUCAUCACUCAAUUUCUCAAUUCUUUUGCCACCAUUCAGUGUUCUCUCAGACCCACCAUUCAUUGUUCCCACAUUAGCAUUAUCACAACAUGAAGUUAUAC